Molecule: ribosomal RNA, 1429 nt
Filed under: metagenome
Description: bacterial SSU rRNA
Rfam family: Archaeal small subunit ribosomal RNA
Source: RNAcentral
UCCCGUUGAUCCUGCGGGAGGCUGCUGCUAUUGGGAUUCGAUUUAGCCAUGCAAGUCUGGUUGCAAUACCGGCAGAAUGCUCAGUAACACGUCGAUAAUCUGCCCUUAGGUUGAGGAUAAACUCGGGAAACUGAGUGUAAUACUCGAUAUGGGAUGUAUGCUGGAAGGCAGCAUCCUUGAAAGGCAACGCCUAAGGAUGAGUCGGCGGCCGAUUAGGCUGUUGGUGGGGUAAUGGCCCACCAAACCUCAGAUCGGUACGGGCCCUGAGAGGGGUAGCCCGGAGAAGGACACUGAGAUACUGGUCCUAGCCCUACGGGGUGCAGCAGGCGCGAAACCUUUACAAUGCACGAAAGUGUGAUAAGGGAAUCCCAAGUGCUCAUGCAAUGCAUGGGCUUUUGUUAAUGUUAAAACCAUUGGCGAAUAAGUGGUGGGUAAGACUGGUGCCAGCCGCCGCGGUAACACCAGCGCCACAAGUGGGGGCCGCUUUUAUUGGGCCUAAAGCGUCCGUAGCUGGUUCGGUAAAUCUUCUGUGAAAUUGACAGGCUUAACCUGUCAGCGUGCAGGGGACACUGCCGAACUCGAGACCGGGAGGGGUCAGAAGUAUUCCUGGGGGAGCGGUAAAAUGCUAUAAUCCCGGGAAGACUACCUGUGGCGAAGGCGUCUGACUAGAACGGUUCUGACAGUGAGGGACGAAAGCCAGGGGAGCGAACCGGAUUAGAUACCCGAGUAGUCCUGGCCGUAAACGCUGUGAGCUAGGUGUUGUACAUUCUCAAAGAAUGUGCAGUGUCGAAGCGAAGGUGUUAAGCUCACCGCCUGGGAAGUAUAGUCGCAAGACCGAAACUUAAAGGAAUUGGCGGGGGAGCACUACAAGGGGUACGGCGUGCGGUUUAAUCUAAUUCAACGCAGAGAACCUCACCAGAAGCGACGGCAGGAUGAAGGUCAGUCUGAAGGGCUUACCUAACGAGCCGAGAGGUAGUGCAUGGCCGUCGUCAGCUCGUGCUGUGAAGUGUCCUGUUAAGUCAGGCAACGAGCGAGACCUGUGCCCACAAUUGCCAACGGACGCUUCGCGUGACCGUGCACAUUGUGGGGACUGCCCUGGAAACAGGGAGGAAGGUGCAGGCUACGGUAGGUCUGUAUGCUCCGAAUCUUCUGGGCAACACGCGCGCAACAAUGGUAGGGACAAUGGGACGCAACUCCGAAAGGAGAAGCUAAACCUCUAAACCCUAUCCUAGUGCAGAUCGAGGGCUGCAACUCGCCCUCGUGACGUUGGAAUCCCUAGUAAUCGGAGUUCAACAUACUCCGAUGAAUAUGUCCCUGCUCCUUGCACACACCGCCCGUCAAACCACUCGAGCAGGGUUUAGGUGAGCAUCCGUCCUCGUGAUGUAUGCGAAUCUAAGCUCAGUGAGAUGGGUUAAGUCGUCACAAGGUA